UUUUUCCUCCCUCAGGCUUACAGUAUAAACUCUUGUAAAAAGUCAAAUCCCAGUUUUUAGCAACGAAGUAGCGAGAACGAGGAUUAAAAUGUCUCAAAAUGUAUAAUCUGAGGAUCCGCCACCACCCACUUCAGAAUGAAUGCUCUCAGUAAACGCAAGUCUCUACAGUGGUUCUGAAGCAUGUAAGGAAGAAUUUGGAUGUCUAUCAGUUUUAGCAUAGCCUGUGAUGAUCCAACUAGCUUGAGAGCUCUUGGCCACGUAACUUCCCUUAUGGAAGGGAGAAGACUUCCCUUUGGAUAGUGAGCUAAACCCUAACGUUAGAGAGAGAACCACCACAGCGCUGCUCUCUCCUUGGUGGCGACUGCGUGUUAGUUGCCGUGUGCUCCCACACCCCUUCUAACUAAACACAACUUCAGGGAUGGGAUUUCUUUCUUUGUGUGACUUGAAAAAAUGAAAUCUCUUGCUGGCCUUUGGGCACUGUGAAAAAUAUAGUUGAGUUUGGGGAAGGAAUGUGCUAGCAAAACAGUCCCAAAUUUUAUGUGGGUCUUAGAUCUGGUGUUGGACUCAUUAGGUCCUGGCAGAGGCUCAGACAUAGGCCCUUUCUUCUUAUCUGCACACUGAGAAUGGAUUGAUAAGGAUUCCUACCUAAUUUAGCUUGUACAAUGCUCCUCACUUCCAAGACUGCGACCUUGGAUAACUGACCUGAUUGUUCCUUUCCAAAAUUGUUCCGCUUUGGCUGAUAGAUUUCAACACUGCUAGUAUGCAUCUGUUGGUGUCCCAAUGGCUGGACCUAGUACCAGACAGAAGUGAAGAUUAUGCAGAUGCGGAAAAGCAAA
Molecule: long non-coding RNA, 836 nt
Organism: Chroicocephalus ridibundus (black-headed gull)
Lineage: Eukaryota; Metazoa; Chordata; Aves; Charadriiformes; Laridae
Exons: 3
Source: RefSeq, a predicted model, not a curated record